AUAUUAAGUUGUUGCGGUUAAAAGCUCGUAGUUGGAGUUCUGCCAGGUGACGCUCGUCCGCCCAAGUGGUGUGUACAGGGCGUGCAUCUGGCCCCUUCAAGGGGAACGUGUUGCACUUUAUUGUGUGGCGCGAGAUCCUUGACUUUUACUUUGAGGAAAUAAGAGUGUUCCAAGCAGGCUCUCGUCGUGCAUAGCUCAGCAUGGAAUAAUAGCAUUGGACUUCGUUUCUACGCUGUUGGUUGCAAGAAGCGAGGUAAUGAUGAAGAGGGAUAGUUGGGGGCAUUCGUAUUUAACUGUCAGAGGUGAAAUUCUUGUAUUUGUUAAAGACGGACUACUGCGAAAGCAUCUGCCAUGGAUGUUUUCAUUGAUCAAGAACGAAAGUUAGGGGAUCGAAGACGAUCAGAUACCGUCCUAGUCUUAACUAUAAACCAUACCGGCUAGAGAUCGGAGGUCGUUCAAUUUGUGACACCUUCAGCAUCUUGAGAGAAAUCAAAGCCUUUGGGUUCCGGGGGGAGUAUGGUCGCAAGGCUGAAACUUAAAGGAAUUGACGGAAGGGCACCACCAGGAGUGGAGCCUGCGGC
RNAcentral lists this ribosomal RNA (581 nucleotides) under uncultured Syndiniales. RNAcentral describes it as "SSU rRNA". It matches the Rfam family "Eukaryotic small subunit ribosomal RNA", at positions 602 to 1189 of the family's 1831-position model. Lineage: Eukaryota; Dinophyceae; Syndiniales. The record is from RNAcentral.